UGGUGAAUCGAUUCUGUUGGUCGAGUUCUACAACGAGCCUGUGAAGUUUCAAAAGAACAUUCCGUUGAUCAUAAUGAGGACACAGCGCCCGGCGCGUCUAUCCGCCGGCCCGUUCGGGUGGUUGUCUCUGGAGCUGUUCGCUACUGUUUUGAAUUCAGCUUACUCGUACUUCACGAUUCUUAGAGAAGUGACUCGGGAGUAACCAAGAAGAAACUACAUUACCUGUUCUACCCUCAUGGCUAUCAUUAUUUUUAUAUUACACUAUAGAAUUAUCCCCCAAAUUAUAAAAGUUUUAAUGUGUUUGUUGCUGAAUUGAUUCUCUCUCAUCCUUUAACAGUUAUAUUUAUGCAUAACGCUUGCUUUAGUAUUGAAUAACUCCUGUAGAAUUUAGUUGUGCAUUUCGUUGGAUUCUCAGAACAAAGUCAAGUUUUCUUGAAUACUAUUAAUGGAUCAGUCUUUAUAAAUUGGGUGCACGCAGAGGCCGGAAGUAACUUUUAAAAUUAAAUUUAUAUUACAAGAAAAAUAUCGUCUGAUAACGGUGUUCCAUGUUAUGUAUAGACCCUAUGGAGCCUAAAUAUGUUCUGAUUAGGCUAUGGCGUCUACAGGUACGAGUGAUUCCCACUUUAAUUACUAAUGAAAACAAACUUUCACCUCAGUUUUCGUCUUAUAAAUCUACGGAACACAGGCUAAUUGUGAUUAGCGUUACGAAAUUUACAACCAACUCGGCUGAAACGUACAAACUCAGGGCACUUUGUUUUUCUUGAAGCCCAAGUCCUGAUUGGUGGCAGAAGCGGGAAGAAAUUAGAAUUGCAGAGAAGUGCAGUAUGAAGAUGUAGAAGUGGUCGAAGGUCCUCCACGUCUGUACCAUCACUCUGGAGACAAAUGUGUCUCCUUCCACUGACACCACCAAUUCCAAUUUGAUCAUAAUCCGUUAAGUAUUUUCGAAUUUGAAGCCUGCAUACAGACUGAAAGCGAAGAAGGAUGACCGAUCAUUUAGUUGUCGGCUUAGACGUGUAAAUCUAUGGGAUGAAAGUAAAAAAAUUGUAAACACAACACCAUCAUAUAUUGAAAUUGUGACUAGAAGAAAUAUCAUUAGACUUGCAGUACAUUUUGUAACAUUUUUAUCGUCCUUAGGAAACACUACAUACAAAAGAGUUUGUAAACACAUAGGCCUAAUGAAGUUAUUGUGACACAGGUACAUUAGCAGUGUUUUGACAAAAAAAACAGCAUUGUGUUGCAUUGACAUAUCCGUCCAUUUUCUGCUUUGUAAUUAGGCUUACUUUGCUUUCAGUAAAUAUGUUGCGAUACCAGCUUCUUAUUUAUUAUAAAUAUCUACAAAUUGGGAGCCUAUAAGAAUGUAUACCAGGCCUGCCUUUCAAAACGCAGUUUUUGAAUGUUCACAGUUGUUUUUGUUGUUAUUAGCUGUGUAGUGAACACAUUGCCUUUGAACUGUAAAGUGUUCGAUAUGAGAACACCUGCGUCGUAUUAAACAAACAAUAAUGGCCGCCAGAA
Zootermopsis nevadensis is the source of this 1512-nucleotide non-coding RNA. Lineage: Eukaryota; Metazoa; Arthropoda; Insecta; Blattodea; Termopsidae. The record is from RefSeq and is a predicted model, not a curated record.